Molecule: ribosomal RNA, 424 nt
Filed under: uncultured bacterium
Lineage: Bacteria
Description: bacterial SSU rRNA
Rfam family: Bacterial small subunit ribosomal RNA
Source: RNAcentral
GGGGAAUAUUGGACAAUGGGCGAAAGCCUGAUCCAGCCACGCCGCGUGAGUGAUGAAGGCCUUCGGGUCGUAAAGCUCUGUGGGGAGGGACGAACCGCUGGGUGUGCAUAGCACUCAGCAUGACGGUACCUCCUUAGCAAGCACCGGCUAACUUCGUGCCAGCAGCCGCGGUAAUACGAAGGGUGCAAACGUUGCUCGGAAUCAUUGGGCGUAAAGCGCACGUAGGCGGCUUGGCAAGUCGGAUGUGAAAGCCCUCGGCUCAACCAAGGAAGUGCAUCCGAAACUGCCGAGCUUGAGUACUUAAGAGGAUCGCGGAAUUCCCGGUGUAGAGGUGAAAUUCGUAGAUAUCGGGAGGAACACCAGUGGCGAAGGCGGCGAUCUGGGAAGAUACUGACGCUGAGGUGCGAAAGCGUGGGGAGCAAAC